Molecule: long non-coding RNA, 3283 nt
Organism: Pangasianodon hypophthalmus (striped catfish)
Lineage: Eukaryota; Metazoa; Chordata; Actinopteri; Siluriformes; Pangasiidae
Exons: 4
Source: RefSeq, a predicted model, not a curated record
UGAGUGUAAUCUGACAGAGGAAAGCUGUAGAGUUCUGUCCUCAGUUCUCAGCUCAAACUCCUCCAGUCUGAGAGAACUGAACCUGAGUGAGAAUAAACUGCAGGAUUCAGGAGUGAAGCUGCUCUCUGCUGGACUGGAGAAUCCACACUGUACACUGGAGAUACUGAGGUAUACACACACACACACACACACACACACACAGGUUCAGAUUAUCACCACCAAUUUAUUACCAAUUAUUACAUACAGAAAUGUGUGUGUGUGUGUGUUUAUGUAGCUGUAAAUUUUAGAAUAUGAUUUAAAUGUUUGUAAGAAACUGAAAUGUGUUUGUGAGAAUCAGAUUUAAUUUCUAGAUUAAUUCUAUAUCAUGAAUAAAUAAAAAUUGUACUUAUGAAUUGUAAUUAUAGCUGUUUAGAUCUUUUGUCUCUGCUUGAGGUGUAACACAAUGCUAUUAUCUGUAUCUGUUUAGUGCUUAAACUUUCUCACCAAAUUUUACAUAAUUAUAGCUGGUUAGAUUGUGUGUCUCUGCUAAAGUGCUCAAAAUAUUCAUAACUGUUUUUGUAUUCAGAUUUAAACAGGAAGUGGGCGUGGUCUGUAGCAGAGGGUUUUUCAUGUGAACCCUAUCUCUAUGCCCUGAAACACAGUGAAAAAAUCAGGGCUGCUGAAAAAGAAAACAUUUUUAUUCACUCCUUAUAACACAUUUAUUUAUUUAUUUAUUUAUUAAUUAGGAUUUUUAAAUUGUUUAACUUUAUUCAACUCCUGAACCAGACGUCCUGUGGAACUUUCUUGAAAACUUUCUAUAUUCUAUCUAAUGUGACUGCGUAAAAAACCUGUUUCAAAACAACGUCUUUCCCAAAUCAAGAAACUGUUAUUUAUCGUUGACAGCAACAGCCACCUAAUAAUAUUUUAUCGGAUGUACUUUAGCUUUUGUGUUUGUUACAUUCCAGAAAGAUCAGAAAAGUUCACUGGACACGCUAUCAGAAUCUGUUAUAAAGCUGGACAUGGUACCGGCUCCAUGAGGACAGAUAACAUCAGAGAAAUUGCCUUAUUGACCUCACUGUAAAGUACCACUAGUACUGGCAUGUUAUUAAGUGGUAGUGUACAGUUCUAUAAUUCUUUAUUUUCUGUAAUAAAAUGCACUAUAUCUGCAGUGUUGGUUGUAGAAACUUGAACACAGAUCAGAGUGUAUUGUUUGUAGGCUGCUCACUCUCACAUGUGUGUGUUAUGUACAUGACCUAAUGGUCUUAUAAUAAAUUGUAGCUGAGAGAUUGUGGAGUGCAGAAAGACGUCCCUGCUCCUGUAAAUGUGCUGAUGUGGUGUCCUGUCCUCUGAUUUGUGUGUGAGAGAGAAACACACUGACAUUUCUGUUACAUGUUAAACUUUAGCUGUAUUAUGGCUGUGUUUGUGUGUUUGAGAUCAGUGUUCUGAUAUUUCAUCGUUUCUCUUCCAGGCUGCGUGAGUGUAAUCUGACAGAGGAAAGCUGUAGAGUUCUGUCCUCAGUUCUCAGCUCAAACUCCUCCAGUCUGAGAGAACUGAACCUGAGUGAGAAUAAACUGCAGGAUUCAGGAGUGAAGCUGCUCUCUGCUGGACUGGAGAAUCCACACUGUACCCUGGAGAUACUGGAGCUGUGUAAGUGUAAUCUGACAGAGGAAAGCUGUAGAGUUCUGUCCUCAGUUCUCAGCUCAAACUCCUCCAGUCUGAGAGAACUGAACCUGAGUGACAAUAAACUGCAGGAUUCAGGAAUGAAGCUGCUCUCUGCUGGACUGAAGAAUCCACACUGUACACUAGAGAUACUGAGGAUGCGUUAUAGCAGUGUUACAGAUGAAGGUUGUGCUGCUGUGGCUUCAGCUCUGAGGUCAAACUCCUCAUCACACCUGAGAGAACUGGAUCUGUACGGUAAUAAUCCAGGAGAAUCAGGAGUGAAGCUGCUCUCUGAUCUACUGAAGGAUCCACACUGUAAACUGGAGACACUACACAUUCAGGAUUAUAAAUUCACCAGGACUGGCGUAUGACAGGAGUCUCACCUCAAACCUCUUUUCCAGGAUAAAGCAGUUUUGGUGAAGCGUUAGAACCCGUCCCACAUUUCCAGCAGUUUGGGAGCUGAAUCAUUCAUAUUCAGAUGUAGAAGUUCCAUAACAAUAACCGUGACUGAUCACAUCCUUUUAUCCACUCAGCUACAAGUUACUUCAGGCUUUAAUAACACAUUUUACAAUCCAAAGUCAAAUCCUUCAGCGUCUACACACAACACAGAGAUAUCAUCACAUCAUCACACUGAUUACACAAAUACCGAUCCAUGUGUUGUCACUGUUUAUAGCUUAGUUUUACCUCCACAUUUUUAUCUAACAUUUGUUUCUCCACAUAUGAUUGAGGAACAGUUGUAAUAUUCAAUUAAUCCUUUCUAUUAAAAAAAGUUCCUUGUUUGCUAAUGUAGUUUAAUAGUAACCAUGUUAACAGCUCUGUUGAUUGAUUUGUUUUUAUAGUGAUAAAAUGACCUCACUUCUAUCUGACCAGUUCCUUGGGUCCAGACCAGCAGGGUUCUUGUCCCAGACUUGAACAGUUUUUGCUGAACAAUAACUAGAUAUUUUCUGGUGAAAAGUACAGAAUGGUUCCAGCACUGGUACCUUAUUUCAGUACAGAAACAUACACAUUAUCUGAGUCUACACGAAAAUGUGUGUCUUGGGUCUAAAAUGUAAGCUCACAUCACUGAACAUGACAUCACUUCCUGUACACAUGACUACAAAAACCACCUGAAGCUGAAGAAUGUAGAAGCAGCUGAAAUGUUAUAAGAUUGUAGACUGAUAAGAACAGUCUAUAAGAACAGAAGGGUGAAAUAAACCUCUGCCUUCCUUCCUGCUAAUAAUCAUUAUGAUGAUGUUAAGAGAUUAAUAAUGUUCUUCUCUGGUGAUCAGUUCACACCAUUCCAGGAUUCAUUAUUCUGUAAUCUCACACCAGCUAAUUACAGUAAACAUGUAUAUGAGUGUAAGUAAGCUCAUGUGAUAAAACAAGUGAAAGAGCUGAACUAGAAAGUAACAUGUAUCACUGCAUCUAAGUUUGACUGUUUAAGAUAUUUAGAUUUUUAAAAAACUGUAACUGAAAAGCUUUAAGUACAUGCAUUGUAUAUAUUCCUGUCAUUUAAUGCAGUUUUGUAUAUAAGUUGUAUACACUCACUGUCCACUUUAUUAGGAACACCUGUACACAUCCAUGCAGUAUAUUGGCAAUUUGUAACAUCAAAUAUACAAUAUAUAAGCAAAUAAGCAAGAAAUAAAGGUGUUUUUAAUUUAUUUAU